Molecule: ribosomal RNA, 494 nt
Filed under: Limnonectes sisikdagu
Lineage: Eukaryota; Metazoa; Chordata; Amphibia; Anura; Dicroglossidae
Description: partial 12S small subunit ribosomal RNA
Rfam family: Bacterial small subunit ribosomal RNA
Source: RNAcentral
AUGCCCCACCGUAAAAUAUUAACUCACACCAGCCAACGCCAGGGUAUUACGAGCCCCAGCUUAAAACCCAAAGGACUUGACGGUGUCCUAUCCAACUAGAGGAGCCUGUUCUAUAAUCGAUAACCCCCGAUAUACCCAACCCCAUUUUGCCAAUCAGUCUGUAUACCUCCGUCGAAAGCUUACCAUAUGAAUGCCCCUAGUAAGUUUAAGGGUUUAACAUACCAACACGUCAGGUCAAGGUGCAACUUAUAAUGAGGAAAGCAAUGGGCUACAGUUUCUAACAUAGAAUAUACGAAAUGCUACAUGAAACAUAGCCACGAAGGCGGAUUUAGCAGUAAAAAGAAAAUAAUGUGUUCUUUUUAACAAGGCCCUAGGACGUGUACACACCGCCCGUCACCCUCUUCAACAGUUCAUAAAAGUUCUUAACAUCAACCUACGCCUUAGAAGAGGCAAGUCGUAACAUGGUAAGUGUACCGGAAGGUGUACUUGGUUUU